This is a non-coding RNA of Oryza meridionalis, 190 nucleotides long. Lineage: Eukaryota; Viridiplantae; Streptophyta; Magnoliopsida; Poales; Poaceae. The record is from Rfam.
UCCCAAUGCACUCACGAAUUUCCGUACCUCAUCCAUUUUAUUUAUAUUUUUUUAUAAUUAGUAUUUUUAUUUUUAUGAGAUGAUAAAACAUGAAUAAUAUUUUAUGCGUGGCUUAUUUUUAUUUUUUAAAAAACUUUUAAAUAAGACGGACGAUCAAAGUUAAGUAUGAAAAAAUAUGAUUGCACUUAAG